This 244-nucleotide unclassified non-coding RNA is filed under the name plant metagenome. Its description in RNAcentral is "partial contains small subunit ribosomal RNA, internal transcribed spacer 1, and 5.8S ribosomal RNA". The record is from RNAcentral.
UCUCCGUUGGUGAACCAGCGGAGGGAUCAUUACCGAGUUUACAACUCCCAAACCCAAUGUGAACCAUACCAAACUGUUGCCUCGGCGGGGUCACGCCCCGGGUGCGUCGCAGCCCCGGAACCAGGCGCCCGCCGGAGGGACCAACCAAACUCUUUCUGUAGUCCCCUCGCGGACGUUAUUUUUACAGCACUGAGCAAAAAUUCAAAAUGAAUCAAAACUUUCAACAACGGAUCUCUUGGUUCUG